AUGUUUCCUAUGAUUUAUCUCCUCAUUGAGUUGGCAUUGCUAGUACCAGUAGUGACGAAAACAAUUACAAGAGCCUUCUCAGCAACGAAAAUCCUUAAGACCGAGUUGAGCAACAUGAUGUCCGGUGGUUGGCACUGCUAUUCGGUGGUGUGUUACAUUGAGCGAAGAGGGAUAUUCAAAAGUCUUCAUCAUGGUAAAUUAAGAAAGAUUUUCAAAAAGAUGGUAGGGCAUUACCAUUGCCUGGGUCUUCUAGACAUCAUUGAAAGUUUCAUUAUUGGUAUGUUUUCGAUUAAAGAGUAA
This 300-nucleotide ribosomal RNA is filed under the name Triticum aestivum (bread wheat). RNAcentral describes it as "partial small subunit ribosomal RNA". Lineage: Eukaryota; Viridiplantae; Streptophyta; Magnoliopsida; Poales; Poaceae. The record is from RNAcentral.